This 497-nucleotide ribosomal RNA is filed under the name uncultured bacterium. RNAcentral describes it as "partial 16S ribosomal RNA". It matches the Rfam family "Bacterial small subunit ribosomal RNA", at positions 28 to 507 of the family's 1533-position model. The record is from RNAcentral.
GACGAACGCUGGCGGCGUGCCUAAUACAUGCAAGUUGAGCGAUGAAGAUUGGUGCUUGCACCAAUUUGAAGAGCAGCGAACGGGUGAGUAACGCGUGGGGAAUCUGCCUUUGAGCGGGGGACAACAUUUGGAAACGAAUGCUAAUACCGCAUAACAACUUUAAACAUAAGUUUUAAGUUUGAAAGAUGCAAUUGCAUCACUCAAAGAUGAUCCCGCGUUGUAUUAGCUAGUUGGUGAGGUAAAGGCUCACCAAGGCGAUGAUACAUAGCCGACCUGAGAGGGUGGUCGGCCACAUUGGGACUGAGACACGGCCCAAACUCCUACGGGAGGCAGCAGUAGGGAAUCUUCGGCAAUGGACGAAAGUCUGACCGAGCAACGCCGCGGGAGUGAAGAAGGUUUUCGGAUCGUAAAACUCUGUUGGUAGAGAAGAACGUUGGUGAGAGUGGAAAGCUCAUCAAGUGACGGUAACUACCCAGAAAGGGACGGCUAACUACGUG